CUCCCCAUAGCUCAAUGGCAGAGCAAUCGGCUGUAACCCGAUGUGUGCUGGUUCAAAUCCGGCUGGGGAGA
This 71-nucleotide transfer RNA is filed under the name Candidatus Woesearchaeota archaeon. RNAcentral's name for it is "tRNA-Tyr". It matches the Rfam family "tRNA". Rfam says of the family: Transfer RNA (tRNA) molecules are approximately 80 nucleotides in length. Their secondary structure includes four short double-helical elements and three loops (D, anti-codon, and T loops). Lineage: Archaea; Nanobdellati; Candidatus Woesearchaeota. The record is from RNAcentral.